RNAcentral lists this long non-coding RNA (1149 nucleotides) under Homo sapiens (human). RNAcentral's name for it is "HSALNT0391055". The record is from RNAcentral. Lineage: Eukaryota; Metazoa; Chordata; Mammalia; Primates; Hominidae.
AAGGUGAUAUGGCUUUGUGGCUACUCCUAUGCACUGGAUUCCAUCCUUUCUUACCUACCCACGGACUUUGCUCCUCUACUUAGCUUUGUGCCUAUAUACCGGCAACUGAAAUCUGUCCUAGGGGCACUCAUAGACAUAUGAACUCCAGCUCUUCAGGCCUCUCUUCGAGAACACCACCUCUAACUCAUCAGGCAUCUGCCAGUCAUCUACUAAAGAGCUCUGCUUUGAAAAGACUCCUCAUCUACUGAGCUAAGAAAUACAAGUACGUAUAAAGGCAUACCUUGGAGAUACUGUGGGUUUUGUUCCAGGUCACCAAAAUAAAACAAACAGAGCAAUAAGGUGAGUCACUCAAUUUUUUUGAUUUCCCUGUGCAUAUAAAAGUUAUGUUUACACUAUAAUCUAUUAAGUGUGCAAUAGCAUUAUGUCUAAAAACAUGUACAUACCCUAAUUUAAAAAUACUUUAUUGUUAAAAAUGCUAAUGAUCACAUGAGCCUCCAGUGAAUCCUCUUUUUGCUUGUGUAGGGGGGUCUUCCCUCGAUGUUGAUGGCUGCUGACUGAUUAGGGUGGUGAUUGCUGAAGGAUGGGUGACUGUGGCAACUGCUUAAAAUAAGACAAUAAAGUUUGCUGCAUUAAUUGGCUCUUCCUUUCAUGAAAGAUUUCUCUGUAGUAUGUGAUACUCUUUGAUAGGAUUUUACCCAUAGGAGAACUUCUUUCAAAGCUGGAGUUAAUCCUCUCAAACCCUGGCACUACUUUAUCAACGAAGUAUAUGUAAUAUUCUAAAUCCCUUAUUGUUAUUUUUACAAUGCUCACAGCAUCUUUACCAAGUACAGAUUCCAUCUUAAGAAACCAUUUUCUUUGCUCUUCCAUAGGAAGCAACCCCACAUCCAUUCAAGUUUUAUCAAGAGAUGAUAGCAAUUCAGUCACAUCUUCAGGCUCCACUUACAAUUCUAGUCCUCUUAUUAUUUCUGCCAUAUCUGCAGUUACUUCCUCCACUGAAGUCUUGAACCUCUCUCAAGGUCAUCCAUUAUGGUUAAAAUUAAUUUCUUCCAAACUCCUAGUAAUGUUAAUAUUGACCUCCUAUGAAUCAUAGAUGUUCUUAAUGGCAUCUAGAAUGGUGAAUCUUUUCCAGAUGAAAAUCUUGAAAAUCCU